AGUAAAAAGUCGUAACAAGGUUUCCGUAGGUGAACCUGCGGAAGGAUCAUUGUCGAAUCCUGCAUAGCAGUACCACUAGCGAACAAGUUAAUAAACGCAGGGGCCUAGUCAAGUGUGGGGGGAUUCCCUUGCAUUUGAUUUAGUCCCUGACGGUGCUCGGGCGAUUCGUCCCAGUGCCUAACAAACCAACCCCCGGCGCGAGAAGCGCCAAGGAAAACUUUAACAAGGGCUAGAUCCAUCCUCUCCCGUUCGCGGGGCCUAGGGGUUUGGGGAAGGCUUCUUUCGAAAUUGAAACGACUCUCGGCAACGGAUAUCUCGGCUCUCGCAUCGAUGAAGAACGUAGCGAAAUGCGAUACUUGGUGUGAAUUGCAGAAUCCCGUGAACCAUCGAGUCUUUGAACGCAAGUUGCGCCUGAAGCCAUUAGGCUAAGGGCACGUCUGCCUGGGCGUCACGCAUCGCGUCACCCCUCCUACAAUCUUGUGGGAUGGGGUGGAAUGUGACCUCCUGUUCCGAAAGGUGCAGUUGGUCGAAAUUUGAGUCCAGAUCUUAGGAUGUCACGACAAGUGGUGGUUGGAUAAUAACAACUCGCGUGUUGUCGUGUGCCGAACCUCCUGCGACUGAAAAGACCCUUCGGUGCAUGUUACCCUCCUCUCGGGGAGGGGAGCUUGUGCUACGACCGCGACCCCAGGUCAGGCGGGAUUACCCGCUGAAUUUAAGCAUAUCAA
Molecule: ribosomal RNA, 725 nt
Filed under: Lappula marginata
Lineage: Eukaryota; Viridiplantae; Streptophyta; Magnoliopsida; Boraginales; Boraginaceae
Description: eukaryotic LSU rRNA
Rfam family: 5.8S ribosomal RNA (bases 296-451)
Source: RNAcentral